This 1377-nucleotide ribosomal RNA is filed under the name uncultured bacterium. RNAcentral describes it as "16S ribosomal RNA". It matches the Rfam family "Bacterial small subunit ribosomal RNA", at positions 46 to 1401 of the family's 1533-position model. The record is from RNAcentral.
GCUUAAUACAUGCAAGUCGAGCGGCAGCGCGGGGGCAACCCUGGCGGCGAGCGGCGAACGGGUGAGUAAUACAUCGGAACGUGUCCAGUAGCGGGGGAUAACCCGGGGAAACCUGAGCUAAUACCCCAUAACAUGGCUUGGUCUUCGGACCGAGUCAUCAAACGAUGGCCUCUGCUUGCAAGCUAUCGCUGGAAGAUGAGCCCACAUCCUAUCACGCUUGUUGGUGGGGUAAUGGCCUACCAAGGCGACGACGGGUAGCCGGCCUGAGAGGGUGUCCGGCCACACUGGAACUGAGACACGGUCCAGACUCCUACGGGAGGCAGCAGUGGGGAAUUUUUCGCAAUGGGCGAAAGCCUGACGAAGCAACGCCGCGUGUAGGAUGAAGGCCCUAGCGGUCGUAAACUACUGUCUAGCGGGACGAAAGUAUUCGGAGUGAAUAAUUCCGGAUAUUGACUGUACCGCUGGAGGAAGCUCCGGCUAACUCCGUGCCAGCAGCCGCGGUAAUACGGAGGGAGCAAGCGUUACUCGGAAUUAUUGGGCGUAAAGGGCGCGUAGGCGAUUUGGCAAGUCUUGUGUGAAAGCCCAUAGCUUAACUAUGGAAGUGCACAAGAUACUGCUGAAUUUGAGUUCAGGAGAGGAAGGCAGAAUUCCUGGUGUAGCGGUGAAAUGCGUAGAUAUCAGGAGGAAUACCAGUGGCGAAGGCGGCCUUCUGGACUGACACUGACGCUGAGGCGCGAAAGCUAGGGGAGCAAACGGGAUUAGAUACCCCGGUAGUCCUAGCCGUAAACGAUGUACACUUGGUGUGAGCCCUUUUUGGGUUCGUGCCGCAGUAACGCAGUAAGUGUACCGCCUGGGGAGUACGGUCGCAAGGCUAAAACUCAAAGGAAUUGACGGGGGCCCGCACAAGCGGCGGAGCAUGUGGAUUAAUUCGAUGCAACGCGAAGAACCUUACCUGGGUUUGACAUACACCGGAAAGCCGUGGAGACAUGGCCUCCGCAAGGCCGGUGUACAGGUGGUGCAUGGCUGUCGUCAGCUCGUGUCGUGAGAUGUUGGGUUAAGUCCCGCAACGAGCGCAACCCUCGUCCCAUGUUGCCAGCGGGUUAUGCCGGGGACUCAUGGGAGACUGCCGGGGUCAACUCGGAGGAAGGUGGGGACGACGUCAAGUCAUCAUGCCCCUUAUGUCCAGGGCUUCACACAUGCUACAAUGGCCGGUACAAAGGGCUGCUAAGCCGUAAGGUGGAGCGAAUCCCACAAAGCCGGUCUCAGUUCGGAUCGGGGUCUGCAACUCGACCCCGUGAAGUCGGAGUCGCUAGUAAUCGCAGAUCAGCAACGCUGCGGUGAAUACGUUCCCGGGCCUUGUACACACCGCCCGUCACA